GAUGAACGCUGGCGGCGUGCCUAAUACAUGCAAGUCGAGCGAACAGACGAGGAGCUUGCUCCUCUGACGUUAGCGGCGGACGGGUGAGUAACACGUGGAUAACCUACCUAUAAGACUGGGAUAACUUCGGGAAACCGGAGCUAAUACCGGAUAAUAUAUUGAACCGCAUGGUUCAAUAGUGAAAGACGGUUUUGCUGUCACUUAUAGAUGGAUCCGCGCCGCAUUAGCUAGUUGGUAAGGUAACGGCUUACCAAGGCAACGAUGCGUAGCCGACCUGAGAGGGUGAUCGGCCACACUGGAACUGAGACACGGUCCAGACUCCUACGGGAGGCAGCAGUAGGGAAUCUUCCGCAAUGGGCGAAAGCCUGGCGGAGCAACGCCGCGUGAGUGAUGAAGGUCUUCGGAUCGUAAAACUCUGUUAUUAGGGAAGAACAAAUGUGUAAGUAACUAUGCACGUCUUGACGGUACCUAAUCAGAAAGCCACGGCUAACUACGU
RNAcentral lists this ribosomal RNA (496 nucleotides) under uncultured bacterium. RNAcentral describes it as "partial 16S ribosomal RNA". It matches the Rfam family "Bacterial small subunit ribosomal RNA", at positions 28 to 506 of the family's 1533-position model. The record is from RNAcentral.